AACACCCGUUGGGAGAGGGGCCUGGAGCAGCACCACCUGUGUGGUGCAAUGGUGUUGCGUGGAAGUUUCAUGUAGGCUGAGUUUUGAGUGGAUGCACGACUGUAUGAGUGUACGAGUGGGCCAUGCAAGGUGAGUGUGUGCCCCAUCCCUGAGCCCUUGCCCUCCCCCACACUUUGAUAGUAUUUGAUCAAGGUGUGACCCUACCCCUGAGGAGCUGACCUGAGAUGAAAAGCUUCCCUCCCAAGAAGUCCCCUCCUCUGUGCA
Herpailurus yagouaroundi (jaguarundi) is the source of this 264-nucleotide non-coding RNA. RefSeq annotates it as small Cajal body-specific RNA 2. NCBI's taxonomy places the organism in Eukaryota, Metazoa, Chordata, Mammalia, Carnivora, Felidae. The record is from RefSeq and is a predicted model, not a curated record. The transcript has a single exon.